GGGAGUAAAAGUCGUAACAAGGUUUCCGUAGGUGAACCUGCGGAAGGAUCAUUAAAGUUAUAGUCCCCCGGCCCUCUGGGCUGGGGUCUUCUAUACCACCCUUUGUUUAUUACACCUUUGUUGCUUUGGCAGGCCUGCCCUCGGGCUGCUGGCUCCGGCCGGCUCGCGUCUGCCAGAGGACCUAAACUCUGUUUGUAUAUGAAGUCUGAGUACUAUAUAAUAGUUAAAACUUUCAACAACGGAUCUCUUGGUUCUG
Molecule: unclassified non-coding RNA, 256 nt
Filed under: plant metagenome
Description: partial contains small subunit ribosomal RNA, internal transcribed spacer 1, and 5.8S ribosomal RNA
Rfam family: Eukaryotic small subunit ribosomal RNA (bases 1-54)
Source: RNAcentral